RNAcentral lists this ribosomal RNA (563 nucleotides) under uncultured Glomeromycotina. Its description in RNAcentral is "SSU rRNA". It matches the Rfam family "Eukaryotic small subunit ribosomal RNA", at positions 548 to 1114 of the family's 1831-position model. The record is from RNAcentral. Lineage: Eukaryota; Fungi; Glomeromycota.
UUGGAGGGCAAGUCUGGUGCCAGCAGCCGCGGUAAUUCCAGCUCCAAUAGCGUAUAUUAAAGUUGCUGCAGUUAAAAAGCUCGUAGUUGAAUUUCGGGACCAUCAUGUCGGUCGUGCCUCGGUACGCACUGGCAUCGUCGGUUUCUCCCUUCUGACGAACAUGAUGUCAUUUAUUUGGUGUUGUGGGGAAUCAGGACUGUUACUUUGAAAAAAUUAGAGUGUUUAAAGCAGGCUCACGCUUGAAUACAUUAGCAAGGAAUAAUGAAAUAGGACGUUUGAUUCUAUUUUGUUGGUUUCUAGGAUCGACGUAAUGAUUAAUAGGGAUAGUUGGGGGCAUUAGUAUUCAAUUGUCAGAGGUGAAAUUCUUGGAUUUAUUGAAGACUAACUACUGCGAAAGCAUUUGCCAAGGAUGUUUUCAUUAAUCAAGAACGAAAGUUAGGGGAUCGAAGACGAUCAGAUACCGUCGUAGUCUUAACCAUAAACCAUGCCGACUAGGGAUCGGAUGAUGUUAAUUUUUUAAUGACUCAUUCGGCGCCUUACGGGAAACCAAAGUGUUUGGGUUC